This 352-nucleotide microRNA precursor is filed under the name Gossypium raimondii (Peruvian cotton). Its description in RNAcentral is "miR8704 stem-loop (gra-MIR8704)". Lineage: Eukaryota; Viridiplantae; Streptophyta; Magnoliopsida; Malvales; Malvaceae. The record is from miRBase by way of RNAcentral.
CACACAGUCACGUGGUCUGACAGCCUGAACUGGCCAAUUUAGGCUCACGGGUGUUAAAAAUGUUUUCUUUAUAAGAGAGCCAUGGUCCCCUCAACUGGAAAAAAGAAAAAAAUUGAAGUAGCAGCUAAGGAUAAUAAGGGGAAAAGGCAGCAAAGAAGAGAAGAGAAUAAGAGUUCUGAAAGGUUAACUAUUAUUUUUGUAAUUUUAUUUUGGUUAGGUUAGAGUUUUAAAGAAAGGAGGCAACAAAUUUUAACACUCGUUGAGGGCACCAUGGCUCUCUUAUAAAGAAAAUAUUUUAACACCCUUGAGGCCUUAAUUAGUCAGUUCAGGCAGUCAGACCGUGUGACUAUGU